This 29-nucleotide non-coding RNA is filed under the name Rattus norvegicus (Norway rat). The record is from RNAcentral. Lineage: Eukaryota; Metazoa; Chordata; Mammalia; Rodentia; Muridae.
GCUUUGAGUAGGUCAUGGCCUGUAAGCUA